RNAcentral lists this ribosomal RNA (275 nucleotides) under uncultured Ochrobactrum sp. RNAcentral describes it as "partial 16S ribosomal RNA". It matches the Rfam family "Bacterial small subunit ribosomal RNA", at positions 1105 to 1382 of the family's 1533-position model. The record is from RNAcentral. Lineage: Bacteria; Pseudomonadati; Pseudomonadota; Alphaproteobacteria; Hyphomicrobiales; Brucellaceae.
UUGUCCUUUAGUUACCAGCACGUUAUGGUGGCACUCUAAGGAGACUGCCGGUGCAAACCGGAGGAAGGUGGGGAUGACGUCAAGUCAUCAUGGCCUUACGGCCUGGGCUACACACGUGCUACAAUGGUCGGUACAAAGGGUUGCCAAGCCGCGAGUGUGAGCUAAUCUCCAAAAGCCAUCUCAGUUCGGAUUGCACUCUGCAACUCGAGUGCAUGAAGUUGGAAUCGCUAGUAAUCGCGGAUCAGCAUGCCGCGGUGAAUACGUUCCCGGGCCUU